This is a non-coding RNA of Sus scrofa (pig), 2225 nucleotides long. The record is from RefSeq and is a predicted model, not a curated record. NCBI's taxonomy places the organism in Eukaryota, Metazoa, Chordata, Mammalia, Artiodactyla, Suidae.
CGAAAAGGGAAUAGGUGCCGGCGUGCGCGUUGCAUCUUGGGAAAUGUAGUCCAAAGGCCCGAGGACCGCCAUCUCCCAAGAAGGGAGGGGCGGAGAGUACGUUAAUUUUCGCCUUGGAACAAAAGAACCGUUCCCCCUCCUCGCGACGUUUCGGCCACGCCGCGCGCGACUUCGGCGGCUUUGCUCGCGCCCAUUGCAUGCUGGGAACGGCAGUUCGCCAGACCGGCUACGUCGGCGCGAGAUGACGGAAUUCACGUGGCAUGCGCGAGAGACGUCCGGACCAACUAAGAACCCAAACUGAAGCCCUUGGAUUUCUCACCGGUUUGCGCUCUCGCGCAAGCUCGGGCUGCUCGCGGACCGGCCUCCUUCGUCCGGCUUUUCCCUACGUAGAAAGUUUAAGCUUACUGUUGGCAGGUCCCCGGGCAACCAGUGUGUGAGAUGGGACGGACGUCGAAGGACAAGCGGGAUGUCUACUACCGCCUAGCCAAGGAGAAUGGCUGGCGUGCCCGCAGUGCCUUCAAACUGCUACAACUUGACGAGGAAUUCCAGCUCUUCCAAGGCGUGACGCGGGCAGUUGACCUGUGCGCGGCCCCGGGCAGCUGGAGCCAGGUGCUGAGCCAGAAGAUUGGGGGCCAGGGGUCCGGCCACGUGGUGGCUGUGGACCUUCAGGCUAUGGCUCCACUGCCAGGUGUGUUACAGAUCCAAGGGGAUAUCACCCAGCUGUCCACUGCCAAGGAGAUCAUCCAGCACUUUGAGGGCUGCCCCGCGGACCUCGUAGUGUGUGACGGGGCUCCCGAUGUAACCGGCCUCCACGAUGUUGAUGAGUAUAUGCAGGCCCAGCUCCUCCUAGCCGCUCUGAACAUCGCCACACACGUCUUGAAGCCAGGGGGCUGCUUUGUGGCCAAGAUCUUCCGAGGCCGGGAUGUGACGCUGAUCUACAGCCAGCUGCGUGUCUUCUUCUCCAGCGUGCUCUGUGCCAAGCCCAGGAGCAGCCGGAACUCCAGCAUCGAGGCUUUCGCUGUCUGUAAGGGUUAUGACCCCCCUGCGGGUUUCCUGCCAGACCUGACCAAACCCCUGCUGGACCACUCUUACGAUCCAGAUUUCAACCAAUUGGAUGGGCCUACCCGCACCAUUGUGCCAUUUGUGACCUGCGGGGACCUGAGCGCCUAUGAUUCGGACCGCAGCUACCCACUGGACCUAGAGGACGGCUCAGAGUACAAGUACACCCCACCCACGCAGCCCCCCAUCUCACCACCGUACCAGGAGGCCUGCACAUUGAAGAAGAAGGGGCAGCUAGCCAAGGAGACCCGCCCGCAGGACUGCUCCGUCAGCACAGCGGCCGUGUUGCCCCAGUCCCUGGCUGCCCCACAGUGCCACACCCUGCUGGCCUCUGAGGUCUGGAGACCCGGUCCCAGGGCCCUCCGUGCCUUUUCUCUGCACCCACAGCGACCCCCUCCUCAUGUGCCUCUUUCUGCCCCAAAUCACUGGUUUCUGGGGCAAAAUUCUCUUCCCUGCCUCCCAAUGACCGUAAAAAUCAGUGGGUAAAAGCAGGCAUAGUGAACAGAAGAGCUUAGCCAAGUAUCUGAGUCCCUUUUCUUUUUCUUGGGUAGGUGGAAGACAGUGAAAUGAAUUGUUCGCCUUGACACGUUAAGCUGGCAAUCUGAUAAGGACUUGGAAGCUCUUCGCUGUCAGGAAAACCAAGAACUUGAGUUGAUGAACUUGUUUUCAAGUAGCUCAUCAACGGGUCCUGAACACACAAGCGCCGAGCAGGAACCUGCAACAACCAGCAGAAACACAGCGAGGAAAGAAACAUCUCGGACUGUCCAUCUGCGCCGCCGAGGGGGGUCUUGCCUCCUCUCUAAAUCUUUCCAGCGGUGUCCUCCUGAUUCUGUUCACACUUUACCCUGAAAGCAGGGAUUCUUAACCUGAUAGAAGUCAGGGCUAUCUGUGAACUUGUUGCAGGGAAAUAACUACGUUUUUAUUGAUUGAACAGAAAUUUUAGCUCUAUUCCUGAACCUCAAUGCUGGCAGCGCAUCACAACAGUGAAAGCAGUGCCUGCAACUUUCCCACCAAUAUGGGUCACGGUUACUUUUUUUUUUUUCUUUUUAACGUUAUGUUACAGUCAUUGUGGGUGUCUUAUAAAACAUUGUUCACAUUGGUCACUACUUUGAGAUAAGAUCUUAUAAUUUGAUAUACUCCUUUUAAAAAGUUCAUAUAUUACAGCA